UGGGGUGUGGCUAAGCGGUAAAGCACUUGCCUCCCAUGUAUGAGGCACUGGGUUCAAUCCUCAGCACCACAU
Ictidomys tridecemlineatus (thirteen-lined ground squirrel) is the source of this 72-nucleotide non-coding RNA. NCBI's taxonomy places the organism in Eukaryota, Metazoa, Chordata, Mammalia, Rodentia, Sciuridae. The record is from Rfam.